GACGAGCCUCACAAACGUUAUUCGGAAUUACUGGGCUUAAAGGGUGCGUAGGCGGCGCGGAAAGUUGGGUGUGAAAUCCCUCGGCUCAACCGAGGAAUUGCGCUCAAUACUACCGUGCUCGAGGGAGAUAGAGGAAUGCGGAACUUACGGUGGAGCGGUGAAAUGCGUUGAUAUCGUAGGGAACACCGGUGGCGAAAGCGGCAUUCUGGAUCUCUUCUGACGCUGAUGCACGAAAGCUAGGGUAGCAAACGGG
Molecule: ribosomal RNA, 253 nt
Filed under: uncultured bacterium
Lineage: Bacteria
Description: partial 16S ribosomal RNA
Rfam family: Bacterial small subunit ribosomal RNA
Source: RNAcentral